GAAAAGAACCCCGGCGAGGGGAGUGAAAAAGAACCUGAAACCGUGUACGUACAAGCAGUGGGAGCACCUUCGGGUGUGACUGCGUACCUUUUGUAUAAUGGGUCAGCGACUUAUAUUCUGUAGCAAGGUUAACCGUAUAGGGGAGCCGCAGGGAAACCGAGUCUUAACUGGGCGUUAAGUUGCAGGGUAUAGACCCGAAACCCGGUGAUCUAGCCAUGGGCAGGUUGAAGGUUGGGUAACACUAACUGGAGGACCGAACCGACUAAUGUUGAAAAAUUAGCGGAUGACUUGUGGCUGGGGGUGAAAGGCCAAUCAAACCGGGAGAUAGCUGGUUCUCCCCGAAAGCUAUUUAGGUAGCGCCUCGUGAACUCAUCUUCGGGGGUAGAGCACUGUUUCGGCUAGGGGGUCAUCCCGACUUACCAACCCGAUGCAAACUACGAAUACCGAAGAAUGUUAUCACGGGAGACACACGGCGGGUGCUAACGUCCGUCGUGAAGAGGGAAACAACCCAGACCGCCAGCUAAGGUCCCAAAGUCAUGGUUAAGUGGGAAACGAUGUGGGAAGGCACAGACAGCCAGGAUGUUGGCUUAGAAGCAGCCAUCAUUUAAAGAAAGCGUAAUAGCUCACUGGUCGAGUCGGCCUGCGCGGAAGAUGUAACGGGGCUAAACCAUGCACCGAAGCUGCGGCAGCGACACUAUGUGUUGUUGGGUAGGGGAGCGUUCUGUAAGCCUGCGAAGGUGUGCUGUGAGGCAUGCUGGAGGUAUCAGAAGUGCGAAUGCUGACAUAAGUAACGAUAAAGCGGGUGAAAAGCCCGCUCGCCGGAAGACCAAGGGUUCCUGUCCAACGUUAAUCGGGGCAGGGUGAGUCGACCCCUAAGGCGAGGCCGAAAGGCGUAGUCGAUGGGAAACAGGUUAAUAUUCCUGUACUUGGUGUUACUGCGAAGGGGGGACGGAGAAGGCUAUGUUAGCCGGGCGACGGUUGUCCCGGUUUAAGCAUGUAGGCUGGUUAUCCAGGCAAAUCCGGAUAAUCAAGGCUGAGGUGUGAUGACGAGGCACUACGGUGCUGAAGUAACAAAUGCCCUGCUUCCAGGAAAAGCCUCUAAGCAUCAGGUAACAUCAAAUCGUACCCCAAACCGACACAGGUGGUCAGGUAGAGAAUACCAAGGCGCUUGAGAGAACUCGGGUGAAGGAACUAGGCAAAAUGGUGCCGUAACUUCGGGAGAAGGCACGCUGGUGUGUAGGUGAAGUCCCUGCGGAUGGAGCUGAGACCAGUCGAAGAUACCAGCUGGCUGCAACUGUUUAUUAAAAACACAGCACUGUGCAAACACGAAAGUGGACGUAUACGGUGUGACGCCUGCCCGGUGCCGGAAGGUUAAUUGAUGGGGUUAUCCGUAAGGAGAAGCUCUUGAUCGAAGCCCCGGUAAACGGCGGCCGUAACUAUAACGGUCCUAAGGUAGCGAAAUUCCUUGUCGGGUAAGUUCCGACCUGCACGAAUGGCGUAAUGAUGGCCAGGCUGUCUCCACCCGAGACUCAGUGAAAUUGAACUCGCUGUGAAGAUGCAGUGUACCCGCGGCAAGACGGAAAGACCCCGUGAACCUUUACUAUAGCUUGACACUGAACAUUGAGCCUUGAUGUGUAGGAUAGGUGGGAGGCUUUGAAGCGUGGACGCCAGUCUGCGUGGAGCCAACCUUGAAAUACCACCCUUUAAUGUUUGAUGUUCUAACGUUGGCCCCUUACCGGGGUUGCGGACAGUGUCUGGUGGGUAGUUUGACUGGGGCGGUCUCCUCCCAAAGCGUAACGGAGGAGCACGAAGGUUAGCUAAUCCUGGUCGGACAUCAGGAGGUUAGUGCAAUGGCAUAAGCUAGCUUGACUGCGAGCGUGACGGCGCGAGCAGGUGCGAAAGCAGGUCAUAGUGAUCCGGUGGUUCUGAAUGGAAGGGCCAUCGCUCAACGGAUAAAAGGUACUCCGGGGAUAACAGGCUGAUACCGCCCAAGAGUUCAUAUCGACGGCGGUGUUUGGCACCUCGAUGUCGGCUCAUCACAUCCUGGGGCUGAAGUAGGUCCCAAGGGUAUGGCUGUUCGCCAUUUAAAGUGGUACGCGAGCUGGGUUUAGAACGUCGUGAGACAGUUCGGUCCCUAUCUGCCGUGGGCGCUGGAGAAUUGAGGGGGGCUGCUCCUAGUACGAGAGGACCGGAGUGGACGCAUCACUGGUGUUCGGGUUGUCAUGCCAAUGGCACUGCCCGGUAGCUAAAUGCGGAAGAGAUAAGUGCUGAAAGCAUCUAAGCACGAAACUUGCCCCGAGAUGAGUUCUCCCUGAGACUU
This 2320-nucleotide ribosomal RNA is filed under the name Klebsiella pneumoniae. Its description in RNAcentral is "partial 23S ribosomal RNA". It matches the Rfam family "Bacterial large subunit ribosomal RNA", at positions 516 to 2823 of the family's 2925-position model. The record is from RNAcentral. Lineage: Bacteria; Pseudomonadati; Pseudomonadota; Gammaproteobacteria; Enterobacterales; Enterobacteriaceae.